Long non-coding RNA from Populus trichocarpa (black cottonwood), 3969 nucleotides. RefSeq lists it as uncharacterized. Lineage: Eukaryota; Viridiplantae; Streptophyta; Magnoliopsida; Malpighiales; Salicaceae. The record is from RefSeq and is a predicted model, not a curated record. The transcript is spliced from 2 exons.
CCCACAAAAACCCACUUCUUCAAAUCCCAAAAAUCAAAUGAAGAACUCGCUUCAUACUCCAAAACUUUGCCAAAAGUUGCAAUCUUUAACACUCAAAAACAAUACCCCACUUCAAAAACUCCUCAAGAAAAACUGCAAGUCAGUACGAUUGAUGGUCUUUGUAAGGAUGACUUAUUGGAGAAGCAAAAGAGCUUUUUCCGCAAAUGAAGGGUAGAGGGAUUUGUCCUGAUGUGGUCGUGUAAAGCUCUCUGAUGCAUUAUUUGUGUUCUAUGGAUGAGCGGGAGGAUAAAGGUUUGUUUGUUGAGAUGAUGGAUUAAGGUGUGUGGCCUAAUGUGGUGACAUUCAAUGUGCUGGCAGAUAUGCUUUGCAAGCCCAUGAAGAUGAAAGAAGUACAUGAAUUGUUUGAACUUAUGGUUCAGAGAGGUACAGAACCUGAUGAUUGUGCUUAUUCCAUCUACUUUUUGGCUGGCAUGAUUGAUGAUGGGAGGGAUUCUUUGUUUCUGUUGUAAAUAAGGGGCGUAAACGUAAUGUUGUCAGCAAUAAUUCUUUGAUAAAUGGGUACUGCAAAAAUCGGAAGGUAGAUGAAGCUAUGCGCCUUUAAAGGGAAAUGCGUGAUGAAGGGAUUAGACCAAUAAUUAUCAAAUACAAUACUUUGCAGGUAAGGUUUGAAAUGCUCUGAAGCUGCGACUUCAUGACCUGGUACCUAAUGUGACGACAUAUAAUGUUUAUCUGGAUGGGCUUUGCAAGAACAAUUGUUUUUCAGAGGCAGUGAGCCUGUUUCAUAGUUUAGAAAAUUGUAAGUUUGAAUCGAGCAUUGAAAUCCUUAACUGCCUUAUUAAUUGCUUAUGCAAAAUAGGGAAGCUUGCAACUGCUUGGGACCUAUUUUACAGAAUGCCUAAUAAAGGUUUAAAGCCUGCUGUUGUAACAUACGCUAUCAUGAUACAUGGACUUUGUACAGAAGGCCAAAUGGAAAGGGCCAAGGACCUGUUAGUGGAGUUGGAGGACAAAAGUUGUACUCCAAAUGUGGUCAGGUCACCUUUAAUACACUCAUGCUGGUUUCUUCCAAAAUAAUGAGACAUGAAAGGUAGCCGAAUUUCUUCAUAAGAUGAAAGCAAGAAACCUGUCACCAGAUGCAUCCACAGUCUUAAAAGUGAUGGAUGCAUCCACAGUCUUAAAAGUGAUGGACUUACUCUCAAAGGAUGAAAACUACCAUGGAUGUGUAAAAUUGCUUCCUUCAUUUACUACUCAAGAGCUAAUACAGAAGUUGACAUGAUUAAUGCUAGUUGUCAUUUGGCUGAAGAAAACUUUAGUAGACUUACAGAACCAUGGCCUGCCGCUGCCGUUCCAUCUGAUUGAAUUAUUUGUGAAAGCUUCCAUGAUGGGGUAAAUUUGGUGAAGUUUAUCAGAGAGGAAUUUGAACUAUUGAGGCGCGGCUUCAAGUUCUGAUUUAUAUCAUGGCUGGCACUGAAUCCCUUGAACUGAGAUGUUUAAUCAUAACAGAAGUUGAAGCCUGGACAUGCACAGCUGGCAUUUCUUCUUUACACCACAAAUUUUUAGAUGGAGUAAGUAUCAUGCUAGUUUGAGGUAGGUCACAGACCUUUCAAGCUUGGGGAUUUUGCAAUAAUCUAUAAUGUUGCUGGAAAUCAAUUUUCUUCUUACCAAAAAUAAUCGCUUGGCAACAUGAACAGAUGCAUGGAGAUGCUAACAACCACUGUACCUCUUAUGCCACGUGACAUCAACUAUGUCAGUGAAUAUGAGUGCAUUUUGAUGAGAAUUUUUGGAGCAUUCAGACAGAGCUCACUGAAAACACCAAGGAGUAAAAAAUGUUGCUUUUGAAGGAUGCAUUUUAAUCACAUGGCAUUAUUAAGUGAUUUAUUGAUCGUUGGAUUAUUGGGCUGUUGAUUACCAAUUCUGCAACUGAUUCUUGAAUUGCAUUUUUUUACACCACUCUGGCUAGUUGUAAAAAUCACACAUAAUACUUCUAUAAGACAGUGAUUUCUUCAUGCUGAGAGGUUAUUGUUAGAUUUUACUGUUAGACGGUGUUGGCUCUGAUAUGUCAAAUUCAUGAAGAAAUUCAAGAGAGAGUUUCUACAAGUUAUCGGAGCAUCAAUUGAUGUUUUGGUCUGGUUGAAGCUGGUAACAGGGAGCAGUAACAGAGAAUGAACACACGUACAUGUCACUCCAUUGGAUUAUGCAACUCUCUAUAUAGUCAUUGGAAUUUGUUUGGUUCCAAGGAGAUAUCGUUUGGAUUUAGCUUACGAUCCUAUGUGAAGCUACAAUCCUAUAUUGGAUAGGAGUAAGAGAGAUCCUUUUCAUACAAGGACUUGAGGAGAGAACUAUUAGUAACGUGGAGUUUAAGUUUUUGGACCAUGGGAGGAUGAGAUCAUGUUAUAAGGUCAUGUUAGGCAACUCAUCAUACAUCAAACGGGGGAUGUUUUGAAGGACCACGAUUAUCAAAAGUCGACCUUUGAUGGUGUCCCCUCUUCUUCUUUUUCAUGUGAUGCAUGAUUCCCAGUUAACCACACUUUUUUGGAUUAGGUAUAACGAUUUUGGUGGUCAGUCUCUUAUUUGAAUAUUAUUCAGUGCACUGUAUGGUGAUUGCUGAGCGUAGAAAUACCAACUCAUGUUACAGGAGAGGGGGAACUGUUAGAAAAUUAUUCAGUUUUGGUUUCGAGAGUGACACCAAUGGAAGAGUAAUGAAGUGAAACUUGGGACUUAUUCCAACCCGAAACAGUUGGCACCUCUUGACAACGAACAGGAGAUGGAUUGGUGGUGUUCACACAUGUUAAGCUCACAUGAGAAGGUAACAGUUUUCUUUCAAGUUAUUCUGAUGGGAUGAAAAUUGGCAACACAAGGGGACAUGCAAAAUCUUCAAAAGAAUCUGAGCCUAACCUGCUUGCCUAACUGCCUAUAUCCCUCUCUUCCUUUCCCACUCUCUUUCCAAUGAAUUUUGGAUCCAAAUCAUUUAAAGACCUUUUCUUGUCAUUUCAGGAAUUAAAGUUGUUCUGACAAUGAUCACAAAAGUAGCAUUUAAUAAUCAGAUGCCAGUAUACAUGACCCACAUCCUCGAAUAUUUCCCCCCACUACCUUCCCUCACGGUUGUGCUUGGCAUGCUAGCUGAAUUCAGUAUUCUCUGAUCUAGGUUUAUGCUUGGAUGAUCAGCUGAGAAAAAACCAUGAAUCCUUGAGUAAGUUUUUGGAAUACGAAUUAGAUCACAAGAGUUCAUGCUGUUUCAAUGGGAGGAAUUUACUAUUGUACCGACCAGAGAGGAAUGGUAAUUGCCUUUACAUCUGGCCUCUCUACCUGCUUCGUGAAGUUGCAUGUUCACUACGUACGUGACAAAAUCAAUCCCGAGGGCCCUGUAGAUUUUUUCUCCAUGAUUGCCUGUUGCCAACCUUUUGCCGAAAUUAUUCAAGGCCUUACAAGACAACUCUCUCUCUCUCCCUCUAUAUAUAUAUAUAUAUAUAUAUAUAUAAAUGGAAGCCAAGAUGUUGGAUAUGCACCUUAGUGCUUACGAGGUUAGAGUUGCAUUAAUCAUGGAAUGAUAAUUCUGUUUUAUGGUAGAUUUUGUUCUAAAUGAAGAUGAUUUGGGGAAGCCGAUCGAGCUCUCCAGUGGGUCUCCUAGAUAUGUGAUCGUGUUGCCCUAAAGUCUCUAUCUUUUUCCAUGAAAAAAAAAAGUCACUAGUUUGAAUGGUUUCUUGUGUUAGUUGUUGAAUGCUUUUUCAAGCAUCAUUGCACCCAAGUCAAAAAAGGAGUAAGAGAAUUGUUACUCCGUUUAUCACUUUAAGAUGCAAGUCACGUGACAUUGCGUCUUUGCCUAAACUAAGUCACAUUUAAAGAUUUUGUCCAUAUCCAUGUAUAAUGCUAAAAUCAUAAGAAUUAAUAAUUACUCCAUUGAUUGAACACUUGAUGUAGUGUCUUUUGAAGUGUUUUUUUUUAAUCUUUAUAUAUAUUAAAAUUAUUUUUUUU